CUGUAUGAUAUUUAUCAGGGUAUAGGGACGAGGCGGGUAGCUUGCCUCGUCACCUCUUCCCGUGCUCCAUUCUCCAUCCUCUAGCUGUCUUGUUUCUUCUCUUGUCUGUGUCUGCCCUCUCUCUCUGAAACUUUGCCCUUAGCUUAGGCGCAGCUCUCCCUCUUUCCCAAAGCACUGAUAACACAAGCCUGCUCCAUCUGGUGGCAAAUAAGGGUUUAUUAAAGACUUGGGGAUCAGGGGUCAAUAAGCACAAAACAAACCAUUUAAAUUAAACAUCAGGCAUACCAUCAUAUUUUAAUGAUGGCCCUGGCCAUCCUCAAGACAGCAGGUACAUUAGUAGCCACUUACCAGCUGUGCCUUGUAGGGGAGGAAGACAUUUCCUCUUCCCAAAUUGGGGUUCGUCUGGCCAGAGAACGAAUUAAAUUCACAUGAGACAGAAUAGCAAGAAAAAAUUAAACAAAGCUUUAUGAGGAACCAUGGCCCGGGGCCUUUCUUCCCGAAGGAAGAAAGGACACCGAAGAAGUGGGGUGCACAGAGUGGUUACAUACCCCCAAACAGGGUGUUUCACAUGUGAUUGAAAUGUCCCUCCCACAAUAGUCACAAGAUUGUCCUGUCGGCACAGCGCUUGAUGGACACAGCAGGCAGUGGGUCUGCUAUCUCCGUGGGCGUAGCAGGAGGCAAGUCUAUUGUCCGGAGCUGGGCGGUCACAGGUGAGCCGCAGCAAUCAGUUCCUAGCCUAAGGAAAGAUGCUUAAUCCUUAAAGAAAUGCCAACGUUGGGAGGGGGAGGGAAGUUAGUUACAGGAGGGUACCAGACAAGCACAAUAAAAUGCAGAUUUAAGUCCUUGCCUUUGGCAUUGAUUAAGAGUUUCUAGAGAGAAGGUCAUCUCCUUCUUCCUGGUACAGAGAGGGAGGCACCUUUUACAGAUAGAGAUUUACCUUACAAGUGUAAAUGUGUCCUAACAAAGGACAAAUUCCAUUCCUCCUUCCCUGUCCCAAUUUAUCAAAAGCAAUCAGCCUCAAAUAAUCCUGAUGCCAAAGAGACAUAUCUUGGGGUGGCCAAUUUCAGGUCCCUACAGCCUCCUUGGGUGAGUUACUUAACCCAUCUAUCAGUCUUAGUUUCCUCUCUGUAAAAUUGGGGUAUGAGUAAAUUGCCUCCCGGUUCCUGUGAGGACUGAAUCAGCAAUAUAUUUGAGUACUUAGAAUAGCUCCCGGCAUCGUAAAUGACACCAAUAGCUGCAGUAGUAGAAGGAGAAGGAGAAAGGAGAGGAGAUGUUGAGAAGAAGGAGAGGGGAGAAGGAAGAGGGAGAGAAGGGGGAGCAGGGGAGAGGCGGGGAAGUAGUCCUAUAUUCUAUCUCCUGCUUGCUGACAUAUUCCAGAGGUCCAUUUCCUCCCCACUGCAUCCCUUCUCCCAUCUAUUCCCUCCCUUGAAUUUAGAAUUCCAAGUCCCCAGCUGCAAAGGAAAACAGCCAGCAUUUCUGUUUCUCUACUAUGUAGAGCACUUUACCUUCCUUUUCCUCAAUCCCGCCCACUGGGUAUCAUCCUGGACCUUCUCUGAUUUCAUGUCCAAAAGAUUCCUAAACAAAGGACCCUCAGCUCUAGAGUCAGGAGCUCUGUCUUUGAAGAACUGACAGAAACUCUGAAGAUGGGGUUUUCUCUAAGCCAGUUGGAAGUCAAAGGACUUCUGCUCACCCCCCCACCGCAGGGGAAAGGCCAGCAGGCGUUUACUCCUCCCUUUCCAGAACAACCUAUCUGUAUUGCAGUUUCAAAAAAUUCUGUAUUCACCCUUUGGCACGUUCGUACCUGCAUUUAUUUAUUCAACAAAUAAUGUACUGAAUGUAUUUUGCACCAGACACUCUGCUAGGGAAUGGGGAGCAGACGUGUACCUGGAGCUCUCCGGAGCUUCCAGCUGAGUCCGGGAGUCAAUAAUUAAUCAAAUAAUCGCCUCUGUUAAAUUAAUUAAACAAGGAGGCCAUUAGACUGAGGGGGCUCUAACGCUGCAGUGGCAGUAAGCAAACCAAAAUGCAAGUUGUAAAUGCCUCAGGGUGACGAAACUGAAAGCUGAAGACAGCCGGUCACAAACAACCCCCUAGGCUUCAAGCUCGCGCCCAUGGACCAUUUCCUUUCUUGGCCUCCGCCCUUUCUCUAUAUAUAGUCUCUCCCCAGCUCGGUCUGCCCAACACUCCAAAACACUCCUGGCUUGGCGCUGCCCGAUUCCAAGGGGUUUUUGCUUAAAUAAAAUCUUAAAAAAUUUUAUAUGCCUCAGUUUACCUUUUAACACCAGAAAAGCAAUGCAAAAUUGCAGUAGUGAAAAGUGCUGCAAAGGAGAAAUAUUUGGAGCCAAAAGGGAACUCAAAACAGAGGUUGGACCUCAUCCGAGAGGUCAGGGAAGGUUUUCUCUGAGGAAAGGGUUGAGCCAAAGCCUGGAGCGGCCCCCUGGGGCUGUCCCGGGAGCAGCAGAGGGCACCCUGCCUGCAGGGCGAGCGCUCCAGGCGAGGGCGUUGACGUUGCUGCCCGCACACGCGCACGCGGGGCAGCAGGUGGGAAGGAGAGCAGAGCUGGGGAGCGGCGCCGCUGCAGGCCGGAUCCCUCCAAGAAUUCUGCCCGAAUCAGCUCAGCGUGGGCAAAAAGGCAAGCUGAGGCAGCAGGGCCUUCCCCAGUCCCGUGACCGUGGAGGGUUGCACAAAAGUGGUGUGACCAGCCCGAAUACCCAAACCGCCGUGCAGUACGUGCACGCACAUGCUAAGCUCACAAACAUAGAUACAUUCUCCCUGACACUGUGGAGAAAGGGCCGCGCCCACGUGCGUCAUGCCAAGGGGAGGCUUCUGUACCAGACCGAGACGCUUCAUGGACUUCCCCAGAGCUGACUGGACAGAUUCCUCGCAGCCCACUCCAUCAGGAAAACGUCCUUUAACUAACUCCUCCCUUGUGCUCCCACAGCACUUGGUCUGUCGAUGCACUUACCUCGUGGCAUUUAAUAGUUUGUUGAUGUCUCUCUGUUUCCUAGAAGGUUGACAGGCAGUGUAAUCUCAGUGUUUCACCCUUCUGUGCUGUUACAUAUUCAGUGUUGCUAAGAACAACACUUUCCCUUAAAAACAGAAUCUUGAUACUGGAGAGGAAGAAGACAGUUCCUCUGCCCUCUAGGUCCUUGUGCUGGUCUAGGAAUUAAAGUGACAUGAAACAGAAUAACAGGAGAAAAAUCAAACACAGCUUUAUAACAUGCAUACAUGGGAGACACCCAGGAAAACUGAGCGACUGGACAGAAUGGCGGAAGCUGCCACCUUAACUACCAUCUUCAGCUGAGGACAAAGAAGGAUGUCUUGGGUGGUAGUUUGGGCCUUCAAAGGGGAGGAAAGCAAUUCACAUGGAGAUGGAAAAGCAAAUGUUUGGUAGACAGAACUUUGAUAAGAGUGGGCUUAGCAAGGAUCAUCUCAGUCUAUGGAUACCCAGAGUUAUCCAUAGUGAUGGCCUGUCCUGGGGACGGGCCUUUAUCUUAAAUUCUUUUAGGCAGUUAGGGCGAAGGUCAAAGUUUCUUUCAGCAUCUUUUGUUCUCAAAAAUAAUCAAGGCAAAGAGACACAUUUUGGGCUAGCCAAUUCUGAUCCCCCGCAAUACCAUGGCUGCUUUGCAGGCCAGGCAGGAAUAUUGCGUUGGAGGGAGUAACCCAAAUAUUAAAGUAUGAUGUCCAUGCUAUGUGUAUUGGUACUGCAUUAAGAGGCUACCAAUUCUUAGUAAAAUCAGCUUCUCCCCCUUUGCCUCCCCUUAUUUAAAUCUCUGCGGUAUUAGGCAGAUCAAGAUGACCAGUAAGAAUACACCGUUAAUUUUGCAACUGAGGUUAAGUGAAAAUAAGUGUGGUAAAGAAAUAAAGCUUUAGAACAACAGGUCUUUGGGGUGAUCUAGAAACAUAUUUGAAAUGAACUAAUUAAAUAUUAACCUUAUCUGAGGAUGUUAACCUAAAAAUAUGGAAGAAACGUUCAUAAAAAUUCAGUGAUCUGAAUUCUUAAUUUGCAAAAUUAAAUGUCAUGUUCAAUUUUGUUUUUUACACAAACAUGAAUAUUGACAUUAUCCGUAACAGCAGAAAGAACUGGCAAUCAUACAGUGCUUCGAGGCUUGUGUGACAUGGCAGAAUUUCAGUUUCCGUUAAGUAAACAACAAAUGACUUUAAAAAUUAAACACAGAGCUGAAUUUUUCAUCAAGAACUGAUUUACUAAGUGCCUGCACCGUUUCUUCCUAGAAUGUACAGAAAGUGACCCCUUGUGGAAUUCUGACGAAGUCUUUCUCCAGUGUUUUUCGAUUGCUGUCUAGAUGCUUCGGGUCUGCUGUGUGCAUCAUGCUCAGCUGUGGGGACAAAGACAUGACUGGAAAGUGGGGUUUGGUAUGGCUGAGAGGCAAACAGCUAUAGAAAAGACUGAGCAGAGCUGUGAGAGGGAAAGUUGGAAGUGGUGUAUCUGGCAAGGGGCUGGGGGAGAGAUGGCUGGGCGGCUGCACAGGGGAGGGUAGAAGUGGAGACGAGAUCCAGAAAGAGAUUCUGGAGCAGUAUGGCACCUUCUGGAAACUGUCGGUGGUUUCCUUUGGCGAGGCAGAGCACUUACAGGCGAGAGUGGAUAAGGUGGAAAAGUAGGCAAGGACCCUUAUCCUACUCGACAGUGUCCCCAAACUGUGUUCCUCAGAUAUUAACAGAGUCGCACAAAUACUGCACAAAACCACACUGAGAAUAUCAGGAUGAAUGGGGCCUUGCGCAGGCAUGGGAGACUCCUUAAAAUGGGCCUCUUCAAUCCGCAGACCUCAGAAAGACCAGGUCAGGGAGAAUAGAGGAUGAGUCGAGUCAGGAAGUAAACAUACUUCCUAGGCAUGAGAGGAGUGGAGAUCGUGCAGCUGGCCCAGAUGCUGCGAAUAUGGACAGAGGGAGGUGCCAGUGGGACGAAAAAAGGUCCUAGUUAACACUACCAGCUGCUGGGAGGCAGCCUGUGCAGGUGAGAUCCUACAAAUGCCCACAGGGCCUGGGUAGCAGUUACCUUUAAAUAACAUCACUUGAGCAGCACCAGGAUCAUUACCGUUUACUGAGUCAUUUAUACAUGCCGGGAACUGUGCUUUUUCUGUGUUAUUUUAAUCCUCACAAUAAGCCCACUGUGUAUAUUUAUUAUUAGUCUCAUGUGCAGAUGAGGAAACAGCCUUGCAGAGGUUAACUGGUCUGCCCCAAGUCCAUCAGCUAGCCAGCGAGUGGCUGCUCCAUGCUGCUCUGGUCCAGUGGGCCUGGAAGCCAGCACCGUGGAGUCAUCAGAAAGCAGAGGGUGGUUAGAGCCAGGAUAGCAAAUGAGUUCCUGGAGGGGGGUUGCGAGAGGGGGGAGGGAGAGGGCCCAGGCGGAAGCCCAGAGGAUGCCAACGUCUGAGGGACGGUAGAGGAGGAGGGGAAAGCAGAGAGGGAGAGGGAGGGAGGGGUCAAAAAGGCAGAAAGAUAACCAAGAGAGAGCCAUAUCCCGGAAGGGAGAGAGAGCGAGCCAGCGCCUCCCCAGAAGCGGGUAGAAUUCAACGACGACGUCAGACACUGCGGAGAAAUCAAGUGUGGAAAGUCUAAGAGUUGAUCACGAUCACGAGGGUUGGCAGUUGGGAGGCCACUGAUUAUCUGAGAGAGAAACCUUAGUGGAAAGGAGGGCAAACCCUUCACUGAAGGAGCUGAGGAACGCAGGGAAGAGGCAGCAGCGAGGUAGGCAGCGCGAGAAGGGCGUGAAACCUGCUUCUCAGAGAGCCCGGCUGAAAGGAGCGGGACACCAGAGAGGAUGCCAGUGAAGAAGGGGCCUUCGCCCUGAGUACUGAAGAUGUAUUCUAUGAAGGGUUCUAUGUUGGGCAGAAGCGGGCACGGAAAAUAAGAGGUGGAAGGUAAAGUGGAAAGGAUAAGUGACAGUGAGGAGAGAAAGGGAUCCGGAGCACAGAAGAGAAGGGCCGAGAAGAGAGGCAGAGGAAAGGAGGGGAGGAGGGGAGGCACGCUCCUGGGUCUGUCCUCAGCAGAGGACGAGGGGUGAAGCCCAGCGCCUGCCUUGUCCCUCUGAGUAGAAAUCGGGGACAGCGGCUCCGAGUCAGAGGACAGAAGAGAAGGAGGCUCGAGGAGAAGCCUUCUGACAACUGCUGUUGGGUACGGCGGUGGCAGACGACCUGAGACCAGCACACAGACAGCAAGGCAGCAGAGGGGGGCCGGCUGAUGCGGAGACCGUGGGUGUGCAGUGGCACACGUCAGCCUGGCGGAGACCGUGGGUGUGCAGUGGCACACGUCAGCACGGCCAUGCACCUGACUUUCCAGGGCUUGGGCACAGGAGCAGAGGACGCAGAUCACAGGAACUAGAGAGGAGCCAAACCGCUGUUUGCAAAUCAGUCGUUUCCUAUUUUUCUGCCAUAUCUGAGAAGAAACUGACGAUGCUGCCAAGAUUUUUGAAAAAGGGAAGUGAAGCCUGGAGAUGGGGGGUGGGGACAGUGUCCCGUAGACUGACAGAAAAGGGAGAAAUUGCCAGUCCGAAGAUCUUGAUGCUGGGUAAAAGGUGGAGAAACUGAGGCUCAGAGACAGCAGCUAACUUGCGCAGUGUCAGGCAGCUGGUGGAUCCGCCCCACAGCUUGUUCAACAAUCACAAGGCCGGGAUUGAGAGGCUGAGGGUUGAGUAAUGAAAGGAUGGGGGCAGCGGACUCAGGAGGGAGCUGUUCUCCUAGACUGGGUUGGAGGGUCGGUGAGAUGGCGAGCUGGAUGGAGACGGUCUGACACAUGAGUGAUGGUUACUGCACCAUGGUGGCUUGGAGUGGGGAUAAAGAUACCAGCCGAAGGAGGAAACUGCAUAUACAGAGCAAGAGUGCUGAGGACGGAGAGUGAAAUAGCCAGAUUGCAUGACAUUGGUAACAUUUUGGUACAGGGCUGGGUGAGGCUGACUAUGUGAUUUGUAGGGCCCAGUGAAAAUGAAAAUGUGGGGGCCUUCGUUCAAAUAUACUGCUGUUAAAGGUACUAAAAUAUAAAAAGACUUUCCUUUUUUCUACGGCCUAUCUCUUGACCUGUCGUGGUGUUUUUAUUUGCUGUUUCAUGUCAUGGUCCCUUGGGCACAGGGACACUUGCAGAGUCCAUGCAGACCCUGACAGCCGCCCAGUGGGGGCUCUGUCCCGUGACUCAGUAUGAGGCCUACUGACUUCCGAGUUCCACCUCCCCUGAUAUGCUGCACCCCAGCUGGAUGCAAAUGAACCGGUCUCCCCUUCCCACAGCCCACCACCCCAACCCAGAGCAGAAGGAACAACAACUCGCACACCAGGACAUACUUGGUCCGGGGAGGGCAAGAGGGUCACCCUGCCACGUGCCCACCAGACAGACACACUGUGGCACUGCCAGCUGGAAAUAGGGAUGGUGCUGCCACGCCCUACCUGAAGAUGCCAGGGCGAUGAUGUGUACCCAACCUCAGCCCUGCCUGCCCCUGCUCUAGUUCCCUGCCUGGGACAGAGGGCAACAGUGGGACCCGCUGGACUUGCUCUGCUGACAGGACCCAGUCAGCCUCAGGGAGGCGACAGGAAGGGGCAGACUGGGUGGGACCCAGGGUGCUGAGGGCAGGGGAAGCAGGAGGCCAACACACCAACCAGGGAAGGAGGGGAGACAGUGGGAAGUGGGACCCCACAUGAGCCAGGGCUCCAAGCCCCUUGAGCAUGCUCCACUAGGCACCAGACUCACUGAUGGCACACAAAUUAAAAGGUGAACUUGUCAUAUUAGUUUGCUAGGGCUGCUGUAACAAAGUAUCACAGGUGGCGCGGCUUAAACAACUGAAAUUUAUUUCCUCACAUUUCUGGAGGCUGGAAGUCCUAGAUGAAGACGUCGCUUGCAUCUUGGUUUCAUCAGAGGCCUCUAUCCUUGUAGACGGCCAUCAGGUCUUUCCUCUCUGUCUGUAUGUAUCCUAAUCUCGUCUUCUUAUAAGGACACCAGCCAUAUCGGAUUAGGACCCACCCCAGUGACCUCAUUUAACCUUAAUUACCUCUCUAAAGACCCUGUCUUCAAGUACAGCCACGUUCUGAGGUACUGAGGGUUAGGACUGCAACAUAUGGAUUGUGGGAGGACACAAUUCAGCCCAUAUCAAUUUUUAAGAGUUUCAAGAUGAAAAUUGCAGAGCAUUAAACCCCAAGCACAGGCACGUCUGUGCAUGGGACCCCGUGAGCCUGCACUGGACACGUGCCCAUGAAGCCAGCCCUGGGCAGGGAGUUCAGUGGUGUAGGAGCAGCAGUGUGGAGCUAGAAGGAUCGGCUCUCCUCCUAGAGCUGCAAGUGCCAGGCUCAUGGAGGAAUGAGCACCUUCAUUGGACGGAAUUGUAAAGGAAGCAAGGCGACAUUCUUGGUGAGAGCCAGGGUUUGCUAAGUAACGGGAAGAGUGACAAUGUCUUCGAGCAGGCGGAGAAUGAAAAGAAGUUUCUUCAAAAGCAAAGGAGCAUUCCACGAGACAGAGCAGAAGGGUCUGGGAGGGAGGUCAGCAGUGAGUGAAUAAACCCUGGAGGGAAGAGAAGCAUAUGAGGAUGAGAACAUGAGAAAGAGGACACACCGGACGACUUCCCGUCUCAUUGCUUUCGGUCAUGCUGCUUUUAAAUUCCCUGAAUUUAGCAAUUAAAUUAAAUUGAAUUGAAUUGUAGUUAAAUAUUAACAUUCCUUGGGCUAACUUCUGCUGCAUCUCACAUACGAACCUGCUAUUAUUGAUUGGCCAGUGCAAGGAUAUUUCAUGCUGAGCUACCGCUGUUCUCUCGUGGUCUCCGUUCCAAUCACGCAGCAUUUGCAGAGGAUGGACUGGGAAGGGGUACCUUCUGCAGCUUUAGUAGACGGCCUGCUCUCCCACACUGGAAACAAAAUCGUAAUUGUUAUCACGUCACUGUAGUACUCUAACAAAUUAAGCUUGGUUCCUUGAAUAUUUGCUUGGGGGUCAUUAUUCUCAAUAUCUUAUUAUAGUCACUCCCAGAGAACAACAAAAAAGCC
This is a long non-coding RNA of Equus caballus (horse), 8966 nucleotides long. NCBI's taxonomy places the organism in Eukaryota, Metazoa, Chordata, Mammalia, Perissodactyla, Equidae. The record is from Ensembl.